This 388-nucleotide long non-coding RNA is filed under the name Elaeis guineensis (African oil palm). Its description in RNAcentral is "long non-coding RNA (EGUI_LNC000748)". The record is from RNAcentral. Lineage: Eukaryota; Viridiplantae; Streptophyta; Magnoliopsida; Arecales; Arecaceae.
AUCAUUAAUUAGGUUAUUAAUAACGAAAAAAUAAUUUUCAUCGCUAAUAAUUUGAUCAAAAAAUAAAAAAUUUAUUUACGAUGAAAAAUAUUCAUCAAGAACGUCAAAGAAAGGUGACUUAGACUUCUCCUUCGACUGAGACGGAGACUGAACGAGCUGCUUCGAAAAAUCAUAUGGAUCUUUUGGCUCGCAAUAAAGCUAGGGUCCUGAUCGAGCAAGACGUGGUCCUAUCUAUCUACCUCUCCAGACACAAUAUCUUGAGUACCUAUGAUUUGGAAAAGGAAGAACCCCCAGAUGGGGCCCUAGUGCCAAUUCGAAGACUGACAUCUUACAACAUUGCUUCAAAGAAAGGCCAAUCGAGGGCUGGCCCAAAAUAGGAAAAGUCCCA